UCCCCAAGAGGCUUUUAUUGACAUUGCAAGUAAAGAUUGGCUCUUUAAGGGAAGCAUACCCUUCCAGUCAAAGUCUUGGUAAAAUAACUAGCUUUUUGAAUUGUGUCCUGUUGAAAAAGAAAAAUGGAUUCUUAUUGCACAGAUGCAAACAACUAUAUUUCCACAAAUUAAGAGUAUUCACAGGCAGUUUUCAACUUCUUGAGGAACCAGGCAGACAGAAACAAACAUGCUCCAAAUUUUGUUUGCUGGAGUAUACCUUACUCAAUUAUUAAAGGCCAUAAAUAGUUCAAAAUAAGUUUACUUAACUCUGAAAAACAAAACAAGGAUCAGCAAUAUUCCAAGUAAAAGUCAAAAAGAUUGCUUUAACUUUCCCAGUGUAGUCCAUUUAGUUAACUCUUGUAUUGCUUGACAUUCAUGAACAUUUCAGUUCUUCAUGAGUCCCACACAUUCUUUCUCUAUUCCAAUGUUACAAUCUUCAAGGCUAUUAAAAACUCACAUUUGAGAACACCUGCUAAAGUUUUAUAGCUUGAUUAUAACCCACCCUUUAAAAAAGAAGGAACAAAGCAAAACAAAAUGAUCUUUGAAUGGCAAAUUUUCUAGGAUAGUUACAGUUAAAAAUAUGACUGACAGGAUGGGUGCGGUGGCUUACGCCUGUAAUCCCACCAGUAAAUGAUUUUAGUUAUGUACCAGCUUAAAUAUUAAAGUCACAUGAACUAAAAAAUAUUUAAGUGUUUAUUUUUUCUUUAAGUCAAUCUGAGCUCUUUUUAUAGACAUCACACACAACACAUACACAGCAACACAGACAGAAGAUUCAGCACUUGUAAGAUUUUUUACACUUUCAUAACUGGAUUACUGGCUUCAGGGUGGAGCUCUUGGAGGAAUAGGGCCAGGAUGGCACACAUUUUUAGGGCCUAAUAAGCAAGCACAGCUAAAGGCAAAGACAGAUCUGGAAAAUUAAGGGUGCCUUUUUAUGCUGGAUUUUGGAUCCCCAAAAGGAGGGAGAGCCAUCUCUCAAAAUGUAUUUCUUACCUAAUUAUUACACACCAGCGUUCUCUCCUAAUGUGAAGUAAUUUGAUACCCCCAAAACUCAAAAUGGCCAGAUAACACAAUGCGAAACAGAACAGAGCCUUUGAUUUUGACAGGGAACUAUCUGCUUUUAAUUCCUGGGGUUUCAUGAGGAAAACAGGCGGGAUUUUUUCCAAAACAAUGUCUGUGGCACCUUCUCUGUUUUCCCACGGAGUUCCAUGCUACCAGAAGUUGUCUUAGGGCCUCUUAUGUGUGCUUUAAGAGUGGCGAGACAAAAAAUGGAGAAAAAUAAUUCAGUAGACUGAGAAUAAAAAAAACCUUUUUCCAGAAAAACAAGAUCUGAGAAAAACAUAAAGGCCUUUUAAAUAUACCUAUAACUUGAAUAUCCACUUUUAAUUAAGCUGAGUUCUCUUUAAGGAAAUCCUUUUAAAUCCCUUGUUACUCUACUUUAGCCAUGCCAAGCAGUUAAGAUUUUUCAGCUUUUGAACUUUGCAAAAAGUAACCUCACAGGUGAAACCUUAAUUAGGUUAUGAUUAACCAUAUGUGUACAAGAUAUUUUCAAAGUGGGUGAUAGGCAAUGUUUGAAACCAUCAUUGCAAAAUUGUCACUGAGACAGUGAGAGAUUCAACCCAACCAACUCCAUUUUGUUUCCAGCCCCUAAGCUAUCCUUGCCCAUCCCUGGAUGGAGGCCAAACCAACUUCAGGAGGAGCCUGAUUUACAGUUUAUACUCUAAAACAAAGAUGAUAACAGCCACUUCUUAAGAUAUACUUCCUUCCUGCCUGGGGACCAGACCAAGAAACUAGACACAAGAUUAAAAACCAGGGCCCAGGAGCCAAGCAGCUGGAGGCUACAAAACUCUGAUCCUCCCUCAGCUGCUCUCAAGAUCACUGCUUAAGGUAUUUUGUAAGCCCUACCCUUGAUGGAUUAGUUGGCACCACCCAACUCGAUAAACUGUCUUAUCAGAUUUUGUGGUCUUCACCCAGGAACUGACUUAGCACAAGAAGACAGCCACCAUUUAAAAUGGCAGAGGCUAAAACAAAUAAUUCCCACAUGGUUACAGGUCAUGUUCCCAAGGACUUGAAACAAGAUGGAGGCCUGUAGCCAAGUUUGUUACUAUUUUGUUGAGCUGGCUUGAACAGCAGCCUU
Macaca fascicularis (crab-eating macaque) is the source of this 2173-nucleotide long non-coding RNA. NCBI's taxonomy places the organism in Eukaryota, Metazoa, Chordata, Mammalia, Primates, Cercopithecidae. The record is from Ensembl.